GCUUGCGUGGCCAAGUGGUAAGGCGUCCCACUCGUAAUGGGAAGAUCAGCGGUUCAAUUCCGCUCGUGAGCA
RNAcentral lists this transfer RNA (72 nucleotides) under Pyronema omphalodes CBS 100304. RNAcentral describes it as "tRNA-Thr". It matches the Rfam family "tRNA". Rfam says of the family: Transfer RNA (tRNA) molecules are approximately 80 nucleotides in length. Their secondary structure includes four short double-helical elements and three loops (D, anti-codon, and T loops). Further hydrogen bonds mediate the characteristic L-shaped molecular structure. tRNAs have two regions of fundamental functional importance: the anti-codon, which is responsible for specific mRNA codon recognition, and the 3' end, to which the tRNAs corresponding amino acid is attached (by aminoacyl-tRNA synthetases). tRNAs cope with the degeneracy of the genetic code in two manners: having more than one tRNA (with a specific anti-codon) for a particular amino acid; and 'wobble' base-pairing, i.e. permitting non-standard base-pairing at the 3rd anti-codon position. The record is from RNAcentral. Lineage: Eukaryota; Fungi; Ascomycota; Pezizomycetes; Pezizales; Pyronemataceae.